AAUAUAGGAGCGCAUGCGGGUGUCUGCUUAUAACAGCAGAUGAAAAGGGAAUCCGGUGAAAUUCCGGAACUGCCCCCGCAACUGUGAGUGCGAGCGAAACCUCCGGACCACUGCACAUGACGGUGACCGCUGCUUGUGUGGGAAGGGGAGGGAGUAGGAUGAAGCACGAGUCAGGAGACCUGCCCGAAUGCGAUGCUUUUC
Molecule: non-coding RNA, 201 nt
Filed under: Novibacillus thermophilus
Lineage: Bacteria; Bacillati; Bacillota; Bacilli; Caryophanales; Thermoactinomycetaceae
Source: RNAcentral